This is a microRNA precursor of Oryza sativa Japonica Group (Japanese rice), 204 nucleotides long. It matches the Rfam family "MIR812 microRNA precursor family". The record is from Rfam. Lineage: Eukaryota; Viridiplantae; Streptophyta; Magnoliopsida; Poales; Poaceae.
AAAAAAAAAAAACCUGGGUUUGCGUGUCCAACUUUGACUGUCCGUCUUAUAUGAAAUUUUUAUAAUUCGUAUUUUUAUUAUUGUUAGAUGAUAAAAUAUGAUUAAUAUUUUAUGCGUGACUUAUCUUUUUAAUUUUUUUCAUAAUUUUUUCAAAUAAGACGGACAGUUAAACAUUAAGCACGGAAACCAGAGUUUGUCUUUUUU